UCCCUGGUGGCUCAGAUUGGUAAAGCGUCUGCCUACAAUGCGGGAGACCCGGGUUCAAGCCCUGGGUUGGGAA
Bos taurus (domestic cattle) is the source of this 73-nucleotide non-coding RNA. Lineage: Eukaryota; Metazoa; Chordata; Mammalia; Artiodactyla; Bovidae. The record is from Rfam.